This 72-nucleotide transfer RNA is filed under the name Ophidiaster granifer. Its description in RNAcentral is "tRNA-Met". It matches the Rfam family "tRNA". Rfam says of the family: Transfer RNA (tRNA) molecules are approximately 80 nucleotides in length. Their secondary structure includes four short double-helical elements and three loops (D, anti-codon, and T loops). Further hydrogen bonds mediate the characteristic L-shaped molecular structure. tRNAs have two regions of fundamental functional importance: the anti-codon, which is responsible for specific mRNA codon recognition, and the 3' end, to which the tRNAs corresponding amino acid is attached (by aminoacyl-tRNA synthetases). tRNAs cope with the degeneracy of the genetic code in two manners: having more than one tRNA (with a specific anti-codon) for a particular amino acid; and 'wobble' base-pairing, i.e. permitting non-standard base-pairing at the 3rd anti-codon position. The record is from RNAcentral. Lineage: Eukaryota; Metazoa; Echinodermata; Asteroidea; Valvatida; Ophidiasteridae.
AGUAAAGUAAGCUAAGGGUAAGCUUUUGGGUUCAUACCUCAGAAAUGGAAGGAUAAACACCUCCCUUUAUUU